This is a long non-coding RNA of Rosa rugosa (rugosa rose), 1694 nucleotides long. RefSeq lists it as uncharacterized. NCBI's taxonomy places the organism in Eukaryota, Viridiplantae, Streptophyta, Magnoliopsida, Rosales, Rosaceae. The transcript has 6 exons. The record is from RefSeq and is a predicted model, not a curated record.
UUAUGCUCAUAGACAUCACGACAAUUACAUCGGUGAGAAAUACACGCGAUGUAAAACAAUGUCAUUAACAUCGAUUCCUCAAAAACCGAUUUCUAUGAAUAUAACUAACAUCGUUUUUUACUGUUGACCGAUGUCUAUAUUUUGAAUCAAAAAUUUUCAAAAACGCGGAAAAGACUAAGUUAAAAAUUUCAAUACGCGGGGAACAAAAUUUUCGUUUCCACACACUUGGUCAGUUUUCCCACUCUCUCUGGCAGCCCGUUUUCAUCCUUACUCACUAUCUCUAACAAAACUGAAGACCCAUCUCUCCGACUUUUCCUCAAAACCCUAGCCCACUCCUCCUUCCUCUUCCGCUCUCUUUUCACGGCCACCAACACCUCCUUCUCCUCCGCUCACUCCCUCUACUAUCUCUCCAGCGCCAUCGCCUCAGCUGGCAAGCUCGCUCUCUCUCUCUCUCUAAAACCCUCUCCGUCUCUCUCUGGGAUUUCAGUCUAUGCCACACAACAAUUUCUCAUGGACACAAUGGAGCCUCCCCAGUCGCCAAACCUAGCCCCGGCAAGCCUCCAAGGAGAAAAACGCCUGCACCUUCAGAUCUAACUAUACGGCCUUGGAUUCGAAGCCUUCGCCGGCAGCUAAGUUGAAGAGUCUGUUGCCGCCACAGCCGCCGCCGUCAAAUCCUCUCAAACAGAAGCUUGGGAAAGACUGGGUAUUCACAUUUUUUCAACCUUUCAAGAGAGACAACUCUCAGGCCAAGCGGUCUAGCAUUUUCGAACUCUCGCGCCUGUUGCGGCAUCGCGGUCCUGAUUGGAGCGGGUUGCAUUGCCAUGGGGAUUGUUACCUUGCUCAUUAGCGAUUGGUUAUUGUGGACCCUGCCUCAGGAGAUCAACCACUCUGCAACAAGGACAAGACCGUUAUUAUCACGGUUAAUGGUGAGAUAUAUAACCACAAGCAGUUGAGAGAAACAUUAAAGGGUCAUCAAUUCUGAACUGGCAGUGGCUGUGAAGUGAUAGCGCAUCUUGAUCAAUUUGGUUUGCUUCAGAAAUGAAAGCUAUAAGUGAUGAUUGUGAAAGAUUGAUAUCUUUUCCUCCUGGGCAUUUAUACUCUAGCAAACAAGGACGGCUGAAAAGGUGGUACAAUCCACAAUGGUUUUUGGAGAAGAUACCAUUGACUCCUUACGAUCCCAUUGUUUUACGCGAUUAGUUGCAACCAUCACGCCAAAAUUCUCAUGGAAAAACUUCAGGAGCAUACAAAUGGUGACUGAUGUAUUAUAUUUCCUUUUCAAUGAAGAUUUGAACCUCCGAUCCCACUGUUAUUUAGAAAAAAUUUUGUACCAGUUCUUUAGCACAACCUUUAAGUAGCACACUGGCACACUAUGUUACUUCUUUUCAAAUGCAGGCCUUGAUGCUAGGAUAGGAAUGUCUUGUAAGCUCAAUGUCUUUUUGUCUUUCCCUUUUCCUUUCCUUUCUUUCCUUCUGUUUUUCUUGUUAUAGCUAAUUGUUCAUUUCAUUUUAUUUGCAGGUGAAAACAGAAGAACAAAUGGGAUAUAAGUACGGCGAGGCUUGCUUUCGUUUCUGUUUCUAGUAUUAUGUACCAUUUAGACUUAAAUUUUUGUUUUAUUUCGACAUGUUAUGCAUAGAAAUACUUGGGAUGUUGUUAUGUACUUUGAGCAUCAACAUUAAUCAAAAUUUAUUUACUUA